This 76-nucleotide transfer RNA is filed under the name Candidatus Koribacter versatilis Ellin345. RNAcentral's name for it is "tRNA-Phe (GAA) (tRNA-Phe-GAA-1-1)". It matches the Rfam family "tRNA". Rfam says of the family: Transfer RNA (tRNA) molecules are approximately 80 nucleotides in length. Their secondary structure includes four short double-helical elements and three loops (D, anti-codon, and T loops). Further hydrogen bonds mediate the characteristic L-shaped molecular structure. tRNAs have two regions of fundamental functional importance: the anti-codon, which is responsible for specific mRNA codon recognition, and the 3' end, to which the tRNAs corresponding amino acid is attached (by aminoacyl-tRNA synthetases). tRNAs cope with the degeneracy of the genetic code in two manners: having more than one tRNA (with a specific anti-codon) for a particular amino acid; and 'wobble' base-pairing, i.e. permitting non-standard base-pairing at the 3rd anti-codon position. RNAcentral also lists the same sequence under 3 other names. The record is from RNAcentral. Lineage: Bacteria; Pseudomonadati; Acidobacteriota; Terriglobia; Terriglobales; Candidatus Korobacteraceae.
GGCCAGGUAGCUCAGCUGGUAGAGCAGCGGACUGAAAAUCCGCGUGUCGGCGGUUCAAUUCCGUCCCUGGCCACCA